GUGCCAGCAGCCGCGGUAAGACAGAGGGUGCAAACGUUGUUCGGAAUUACUGGGCGUAAAGCGUGUGUAGGCGGCCUUAUAAGUCGGAUGUGAAAGCCCCGGGCUCAACUCGGGAAGUGCACUCGAUACUGUGAGGCUUGAGUAUCGGAGAGGUUGGUGGAAUUCUCGGUGUAGAGGUGAAAUUCGUAGAUAUCGAGAGGAACACCGGUGGCGAAAGCGGCCAACUGGACGAAUACUGACGCUGAGACACGAAAGCGUGGGGAGCAAACAGGAUUAGAAACCCCGGUAGUCC
RNAcentral lists this ribosomal RNA (292 nucleotides) under uncultured bacterium. RNAcentral's name for it is "partial 16S ribosomal RNA". It matches the Rfam family "Bacterial small subunit ribosomal RNA", at positions 505 to 796 of the family's 1533-position model. The record is from RNAcentral.